AUUUAUGGUAGCUGUGUGCGGGAGACCUUCGGGUCUGCCGAGGUCUCCUACUCGGUCUUGCAGACCCGCGCACAGCUGCCACCCAU
This 86-nucleotide non-coding RNA is filed under the name Pseudomonas sp. 29. The record is from RNAcentral. Lineage: Bacteria; Pseudomonadati; Pseudomonadota; Gammaproteobacteria; Pseudomonadales; Pseudomonadaceae.